GCCAUUUUGAAUGGAAAUCUACAUUUACCCUGAGCUUUUAAUAUUGCAUCCUUCUGCAAGGUUGAAAUGUAAAAGUAUUUUAUUCUUUCAGGAGUUCUGCAGGGAGAAGACAAUUGCAACAAGCUGUCAGCAUCCCAAGCAUGAUGUAUUCAGAGGCUACAUAAUUUUAACAACAUAUGAAAUUCCUUUCUUACUACUUUUGAUUGCUUUUCAGUGAACAACAGUGUGUCACUGUUCUUAUAAAAUUUUGGAGUUCUGGUUAACAAUACUCUCUGUUCCUAGGAUAGUUCUGCAAAGAAAGAUUAUAAUCAGGGGAGAAAUUGCCUCUCAUAUCUAACUUCCUUCUCUUAUUCUAACUUAAUGUCACAAAAAGCUAAAAAAAAUAUAUGAGCAUCAUGUGGUUUGUGAAUCUGUCUUCAAGCUUGUUACUCAAAAAAAAAGUGUUCCUGAUAUGUAAACAGACUCAGCAAAUAAAUAUCUGUCAUGUUUGCCA
RNAcentral lists this long non-coding RNA (493 nucleotides) under Cyanistes caeruleus (blue tit). RNAcentral describes it as "lncRNA (ENSCCEG00000004433.1)". The record is from RNAcentral. Lineage: Eukaryota; Metazoa; Chordata; Aves; Passeriformes; Paridae.